Long non-coding RNA from Lathyrus oleraceus (garden pea), 512 nucleotides. RefSeq lists it as uncharacterized. The record is from RefSeq and is a predicted model, not a curated record. NCBI's taxonomy places the organism in Eukaryota, Viridiplantae, Streptophyta, Magnoliopsida, Fabales, Fabaceae. The transcript is spliced from 2 exons.
UUAAAGACAAACACAUGAUUUGGUUCAAAGACUAUUGGCUUGUUACUUUGGUUGACUUUAACAACAAGUUUAAACUUCAAACCCCCAAAAAACUUCUUUGCUUUUCUAAGGAAAAGAUAACGUCUGCACUUUCAAAAAGUGGGGCUGAUAUUAAGCUUGAUGUGAGGCAAACUUCAUGAAGGUAUUGGCAUGGAACAAGGCAUGAAGGCAUGGAUCAUGAAUCAAGUCAUGGUAUAGUGAAGAAGUUUUGGAAAAGAUCAAGAAUUAUGAAGAACUUGAAGUUUUGGAGGCUUGGAAAAACACAAAUAUGGGAUGGCUUGUAAAUGAAGAAAAAUGGGAUUAGGGUUUAGGAUUAGGUAGUUGACUUUGGUCAACUAUUUGACCAAAAGGUCAACAGUUGAGAAAAAGUCAACCUUAGGUCAAAACAUGUAAUUUUGUAUGUAAACUUGUAAUUUGGAUCUUUUUGUAAUGAAAUGGAUGUUUUUAGUAAUGAAAAUGGCCUAUUGAAUGAA